Molecule: long non-coding RNA, 1916 nt
Filed under: Homo sapiens (human)
Lineage: Eukaryota; Metazoa; Chordata; Mammalia; Primates; Hominidae
Description: non-protein coding LINC01230:13
Source: RNAcentral
AUUCUGCAGUUGGGGAAAGCGAGGCGCAGAGGAGGGUUAAGGGACCUCCUCACUGUCCCGGCCAGGGAGGGGCGGAUCCGCACUCCAACCCGCCUCUGUCAGGCUGGGCCUCUAAGCCGGGCCGUCCGCGCAGAGUCCGGGCGGAGCUGGGGGGUGUGGGGGGAAUGCUCGGGGCAGGAUCCGCUCCCGCGAUUAGCUCUGGGAGCGAAGUGGGAAGGGGCAGGGCGGGGCUGCAGAAGUCGGGACCCUCGAAUGGGAUCCGAGCCCGUGUGGCUACGCGAGGGGGAAGCCACCUGGGCUGCGUGGCUCCGGGGCGAACUGGGUGGGAUGGGAUUCGUAAAAAGAACUGGGUGGGUGAGAGGGAGCCAGUUUGAAACUCACUUUCCUCCUUUAUUUAUUUUAUUUUUAAAUUUGUGGCAGGGUGUUUGAAGAAAACAAGAAAACCACCCUCAUCCAGGAAACAACAACAACAAAGAGUUUUCUCUCUCUCUCUCUCUCAGUCUCCAGGGUCUCACUCCUGUCGCCUAAGGCUAGAGUGUAGUGCCGCGAUCUCGGCGCACCUGCGGCCUCGACUUCUCAGGCUCAAGCGAUCCUCCCACCUCAGCCUCCUGAAUAGCUGGGACUACAGGCGCAUUCCACCACGCCCGGCUAUUUUUUUUGUAUUUUUAGUAGAGACGGGGCUUCGUCCUGUUGUCGAGGUUGGUCUCGAACUCCUGGCCUUAAGCAAUCCACCCUCCUCGGCCUCCCAAAGUGCUGGGCCUCCUUCUUUUCUUGUUGAGGUUCCCAUACGUGACUCGCCCAAAGAGAGAUUCUCACCGGGUGGGUCUGAGCAGCGCCAGAAAGGGAAGGGAUACAGGGUGAGAGAGAUUUGGGGUAAAGGGAGAGGGAGGCAGAGGGGGAAGGGGGCCCCAGGCCGGUCAGUUCCAAGAGGCGAGCCCCGCCGGCCGAGCUCCACGGGCUGAGUCAACAGCGGCCCAGUUGCUUUGUAAUUUACAAGAGGGACUCCGAAUGGUACUUUGUAAUUUGGUGUCGGUUUACAAGGCAAAGGACUUCUGUUUCCUCACCUCACCAGGUCCUCAGUCACGGCCUGACCCCUUUUAAGAGAGGGACCUCAAGAGGGGAGCUGAAUUCCUUGAGCCCUCGCCUUUCAAUCAAGUUUUCAAGGCACGCUUUGGCCGGGCCCUCCCGGACUGGCUGUGCUGCUACCUCCAGAGGAAAUCAACGUCUGUACCGAACUCCUAACCUGUGAAGACCUGCUGUCCUCAUAAUUGCGGAGUGGGGCCAAGGAAGGCUACUCUUUCCCCUUUGCAGAUGAGGCAACUGAGGCAACUGAGCCGCAGAAAACUAACUGACCAAGAUCACCCAGCCAGUGGAACAAACAGCUCGAGCCCAGGCUCUCUGGCUCCUAUUCCCUCUGAAUAUUUAAUUUACUAAACUGUUUGAGCAGCCGUAGAUUCCCUUCACAAUCCGGUAAAAUCUAUAAUUACUCCUCCCCUUCCCCAAAAUGUACUUAUUUUCCCAUUCAAUAUCGGAGCUUCUCGGACUUCCUGAAGUUAGUCCCAGGAUAAAGAUCCUCUUUCUCCUCCCCCUUGCCCCGCCCCACGACCUCGCUUCCCAGUAAUUGCUGGGAUCCCGAUUCUCUGGAGGCAUUCCGGGCGGAUUGAUUGAGUGUAAUUCAACUGAGUUAUGAUUACAGCUGCUGGUUCCCCUGUGCCGCAGACGGGUGUGUAGGGAGGGUGGGGCACGUGGAGAUGGGCAAGAUGUCUGGAGAGAGCAGUGGGGCUGUUGUGCACGUUUUUGCUAGAGGUGAGGGUUGAGAGCUAGGGAGGAAACAAUUCCGAGCCCACCCCGCUGGGACCCACGGGCUGAGGUCCUCCAGGUACUCACAUCAGAAGGGGUGCAGGGGAAUAAAAUUU